CUCCCACCCAUUGCUAUCACUACUCUCGUUGCUUUGGCGGGCCGCUGGGCCCUGCCCGGCCGCCGGCCCCGGCUGGCGCGCGCCCGCCAGAGACCUCACAGACUCUGAAUGUUAGUGUCGUCCGAGUAACUAUAUAAUCGUUAAAACUUUCAACAACGGAUCUCUUGGUUCUGGCAUCGAUGAAGAACGCAGCGAAAUGCGAUAAGUAAUGCGAAUUGCAGAAUUCAGUGAGUCAUCGAAUCUUUGAACGCACAUUGCGCCCUGUGGUAUUCCGCAGGGCAUGCCUGUUCGAGCGUCAUUUCAACCCUCAAGCCUCGCUUGGUGUUGGGCCCUGCCCGUCGCGGCCGGCCCUAAAGAUAGUGGCGGCGCCGCCUGGCCCUCAGCGUAGUACAGCUCUCGCUCCAGGGUCCGGCGGCAGCCUGCCAGAACCCCCCAACUCUUGUGGUUGACCUCGGAUCAGGUAGGGAUACCCGCUGAACUUAAGCAUAUCAAUAA
Molecule: ribosomal RNA, 495 nt
Filed under: Oidiodendron maius
Lineage: Eukaryota; Fungi; Ascomycota; Leotiomycetes; Myxotrichaceae
Description: eukaryotic LSU rRNA
Rfam family: 5.8S ribosomal RNA (bases 145-298)
Source: RNAcentral